This 253-nucleotide ribosomal RNA is filed under the name uncultured bacterium. Its description in RNAcentral is "partial 16S ribosomal RNA". It matches the Rfam family "Bacterial small subunit ribosomal RNA", at positions 524 to 776 of the family's 1533-position model. The record is from RNAcentral.
UACGGGGGGAGCAAGCGUUGUUCGGAUUUACUGGGCGUAAAGGGCGCGUAGGCGGGCUCGCAAGUCAGGGGUGAAAUCCCACGGCUCAACCGUGGAAGUGCCUUUGAUACUGCGGGUCUUGAGGGAGGUAGGGGCGUGCGGAACUUCCGGUGGAGCGGUGAAAUGCGUAGAUAUCGGAAGGAACACCGGUGGCGAAAGCGGCGCGCUGGACCUCUUCUGACGCUGAGGCGCGAAAGCCAGGGGAGCAAACGGG